GAUGAACGCUGGCGGCGUGCCUAAUACAUGCAAGUCGAGCGAACGGACGAGAAGCUUGCUUCUCUGAUGUUAGCGGCGGACGGGUGAGCAACACGUGGAUAACCUACCUAUAAGACUGGGAUAACUUCGGGAAACCGGAGCUAAUACCGGAUAAUAUUUUGAACCGCAUGGUUCAAAAGUGAAAGACGGUCUUGCUGUCACUUAUAGAUGGAUCCGCGCUGCAUUUGCUAGUUGGUAAGGUAACGGCUUACCAAGGCAACGAUGCAUAGCCGACCUGAGAGGGUGAUCGGCCACACUGGAACUGAGACACGGUCCAGACUCCUACGGGAGGCAGCAGUAGGGAAUCUUCCGCAAUGGGCGAAAGCCUGACGGAGCAACGCCGCGUGAGUGAUGAAGGUCUUCGGAUCGUAAAACUCUGUUAUUAGGGAAGAACAUAUGUGUAAGUAACUGUGCACAUCUUGACGGUACCUAAUCAGAAAGCCACGGCUAACUACGUG
Molecule: ribosomal RNA, 497 nt
Filed under: uncultured bacterium
Lineage: Bacteria
Description: partial 16S ribosomal RNA
Rfam family: Bacterial small subunit ribosomal RNA
Source: RNAcentral